This 216-nucleotide long non-coding RNA is filed under the name Pogona vitticeps (central bearded dragon). RNAcentral's name for it is "lncRNA (ENSPVIG00000016884.1)". The record is from RNAcentral. Lineage: Eukaryota; Metazoa; Chordata; Lepidosauria; Squamata; Agamidae.
CCCAUUGGUGUGACAGUGUGCAGGCAAAGAAGUGCCUUAAACUGGAAUGUUCCAGUGUCCCAGGUGGAAGCCAUUAGUUCCAGUUGAGCACGCUUUCCGAAACAUCAUGGAGGUGAAAUUGAAGAAGAGAGAAGGACCUCUUCAUACAGAAACUAGAUGUCUGGGGAUGUAGGCCGGUCUGCAACUGAAGAUUCAACUGUCUAGGUAUUGUCUGUA